RNAcentral lists this long non-coding RNA (242 nucleotides) under Vigna radiata. RNAcentral describes it as "long non-coding RNA (VRAD_LNC007790)". Lineage: Eukaryota; Viridiplantae; Streptophyta; Magnoliopsida; Fabales; Fabaceae. The record is from RNAcentral.
AUCUUAGAGAGAAGGUGAAGGGUUUUAGAGAGAAGGAAGAGAAAAUGGAGUUCUGAAGUUUUGGAGAAGAAGAUUGUAUGCAGAGAAAAUGAUGCCGAAUUUAAAAUUCCAACUUUUAUACCACCUCCAAAAAUCGAACGGUCGAGUCUCAUGCUGCCACAUGGUUCCACUUUCUGAAUUGCUGCACUCCAUGAGCUGUCACUUGGAUUCCACUUCUUGCACAUCUCACCUCCUCUGCUGCC